RNAcentral lists this unclassified non-coding RNA (425 nucleotides) under uncultured Inocybe. RNAcentral describes it as "sequence contains ITS2". The stretch from base 1 to 154 matches the Rfam family "5.8S ribosomal RNA". The record is from RNAcentral. Lineage: Eukaryota; Fungi; Basidiomycota; Agaricomycetes; Agaricales; Cortinariaceae.
AACUUUCAACAUUGGAUCACUUGGCUCUCGCAUCGAUGAAGAACGCAGCGAAAUGCGAUAAGUAAUGUGAAUUGCAGAAUUCAGUGAAUCAUCGAAUCUUUGAACGCAUCUUGCGCUCCUUGGUAUUCCGAGGAGCAUGCCUGUUUGAGUGUCAUUUUAACUUCUCAACCACAUCAGAUAUUUUGAUGCUGGCUUGGAUUGUGGGGGUUGUUUUGCAGGCCUUCUGUAGAAGAAGGUCGGCUCCCCUGAAAUGUAUUAGUGGUAUCUGAGGCUACUACUAUGGGUGUGAUAACUAUCUAUGCCUUUGGUGUGCCGCAUGAACAGAUUGCGCUGCUUAUAACAACAAAACAAUUGUAUUUGACAAAUCUGACCUCAAAUCAGGUAGGACUACCCGCUGAACUUAAGCAUAUCAAUAAGCGGAGGCU